UACGGAGGAGGCAAGCGUUAUCCGGAAUUAUUGGGCGUAAAGCGUCCGCAGGUGGCACCUCAAGUCUGCUGUCAAAGACCGGGGCUUAACCCCAGAAAGGCAGUGGAAACUGAAGUGCUAGAGUGCAGUAGGGGUAGAGGGAAUUCCCGGUGUAGCGGUGAAAUACGUAGAUAUCAGGAGGAACACCGGUGGCGAAGGCGGAUCUCUGGGCCUUGCCUGACGCUGAGGAGCGAAAGCUGGGGGAGCGAACAGG
Molecule: ribosomal RNA, 253 nt
Filed under: uncultured bacterium
Lineage: Bacteria
Description: partial 16S ribosomal RNA
Rfam family: Bacterial small subunit ribosomal RNA
Source: RNAcentral